Molecule: ribosomal RNA, 360 nt
Filed under: uncultured bacterium
Lineage: Bacteria
Description: partial 16S ribosomal RNA
Rfam family: Bacterial small subunit ribosomal RNA
Source: RNAcentral
CCUACGGGAGGCAGCAGUGAGGAAUAUUGGUCAAUGGGCGAGAUCCUGAACCAGCCAAGCCGCGUGAGGGAAGACGGCCCUAUGGGUUGUAAACCUCUUUUGUCGGAGAACAAAACCCGGGACGUGUCCCGGUCUGCGUGUAUCCGAAUAAAAAGCAUCGGCUAACUCCGUGCCAGCAGCCGCGGGAAUACGGAGAUUGCGAGCGUUAUCCGGAUUUAUUGGGUGUAAAGGGUGCGUAGGCGGUCCGUUAAGUCAGCGGUAAAAUUUCGGGGCUCAACCCCGUCGAGCCUUUGAAACUGGGAGACUUGAGUUGGCGAGAAGUACGCGGAAUGCGCGGUGUAGCGGUGAAAUGCAUAGAUA